RNAcentral lists this transfer RNA (73 nucleotides) under Ictidomys tridecemlineatus (thirteen-lined ground squirrel). RNAcentral describes it as "Spermophilus tridecemlineatus (thirteen-lined ground squirrel) tRNA". It matches the Rfam family "tRNA". Rfam says of the family: Transfer RNA (tRNA) molecules are approximately 80 nucleotides in length. Their secondary structure includes four short double-helical elements and three loops (D, anti-codon, and T loops). The record is from Rfam by way of RNAcentral. Lineage: Eukaryota; Metazoa; Chordata; Mammalia; Rodentia; Sciuridae.
GGGGAUAUGGCUCAGUCAGUAGAGCGCUUGCCUUGUAUGCACAAGAUCCUGGGUUCAAUCCCCAGCAUCACAC